RNAcentral lists this ribosomal RNA (253 nucleotides) under uncultured bacterium. RNAcentral describes it as "partial 16S ribosomal RNA". It matches the Rfam family "Bacterial small subunit ribosomal RNA", at positions 524 to 776 of the family's 1533-position model. The record is from RNAcentral.
UACAGAGGGGGCAAGCGUUGUUCGGAAUUACUGGGCGUAAAGGGCGCGUAGGCGGCCUCCUAAGUCGAACGUGAAAUCCCCGGGCUCAACCCGGGAACUGCGUCCGAUACUGGGAGGCUUGAAUCCGGGAGAGGGAUGUGGAAUUCCAGGUGUAGCGGUGAAAUGCGUAGAUAUCUGGAGGAACACCGGUGGCGAAGGCGGCAUCCUGGACCGGUAUUGACGCUGAGGCGCGAAAGCCAGGGGAGCAAACGGG